CUCUCCUCCCCCCACGUUACGGAUCAGAAAACAGACCCCGGGAGGAGAGGGGACGGGGGGCUGAAACCCGGCCCCCGAGGUCACCCUCCCGGGGAGCGGUCGGGUAGGCCUCGGAGGCUCUCCGGUCCGGGCCCGCGCCAUCAACCCCCAUGCGCAGCAGCUGGGCCUGAGGCCUCGACUACGGGGUUGGCCCCGGCCUGGAGGGACUGAGGGUGGCGAGGCUCGAGGCCCGGUGUAGGGGACGAUUCUGGAGGCUCCCCCGGCUCCCCGCUCACGGCCCUAGACGCCGCUACCCUGAGCAGGCGGUACGGGAACAGCCGGGGCCGAGGCCGCGCCGGGGCUAGGCCGCCAACAGACCUAACGGAGCCGCCGCCCGCGUCGGCCGCGGAGAGGAACCCUUACCCGUGGCAAAGGACCGUGGGAUACUCACCCCUUAGGGCCCGGAGCCCCGUUGCCGCUCGGCACGCCGGGCGCGCCGCUCUCUUCCUCCAUUUUGAUCUCCGUCGCCGCCACCUCCGCCGCCGCUUCGACCCCUGCCGCCAUUUUCUCCGCGUCUGGGCUUUGUGUGAGCGAACGGGCUGCACCGCGCUGCGCCUGCGCGCCCACGUGACCCGACGCAACCAGUAACACCUGCGCCCGCCGCUCCCGGCUGCCUCCUUGGCCCCACUCGCCCCGGGCCACGCCCCCGCCGCGCGCAGGCGCAGACCGGCAGCUGUUGAUCGCUUCUCUCUCGAGAUACACUCGCGUUAGGCACCGACUGGCUGUUCCCGGCGCGCGUCCUCUGAGUCCGAUAGAGGAGGCAUCUCCCCACCCCACCCCACACAAACACCUAGACCUAGUCACUCUCAGCUUUCUGUAACCAGAGCUGGAGCAGAGGGGAAGCAAUGAUCCUGUCUAGAGAUUCCUGGAAGUUUUAGAUGAAGCUUGUUCAACCCGCGGUCCGGCACACGAUUCGUAAACUUUCUUAAAACAUUGUGUCUUUUUGU
Molecule: long non-coding RNA, 986 nt
Filed under: Homo sapiens (human)
Lineage: Eukaryota; Metazoa; Chordata; Mammalia; Primates; Hominidae
Description: non-protein coding lnc-PRAM1-2:2
Source: RNAcentral